UACUGACAGACAGUUUACUGCAGGUCUUUGUGAAAGACACAGUUAGCCAGCUACAACAAGUCAAAAAGGCUAGAAAUGAGAAAAUCCAGCUUAGCAAUCAGGAGUGUCUUGACCAAAAGAAAGUACUACCCCAAGACUCACCCCAAAAUAUUGAGGAACAGUCACUCAGUGUUCCAAGUUGCUUUUUAAGAGCUGAAUUGGAAGAUGAAAAAGAAGAGAUUUCUUCUCCAGACAUGUGUCCCAGACCUGUGAGUAUUUAUCUUGAGUCCGAUUACCUUCCUUUGAGGCCUACACUAGUUCUGUUUGGGGUGGACAUUCCCCAACCUGCUGCUUAUUAAAUACUGUUUUUACAUCCUCAGCUGUUUUUCUGUCUGAAGUAUAAUUGCCCUCUGUUAUGUCAUGAGUAGUCACCAUAGGGUUG
This 421-nucleotide long non-coding RNA is filed under the name Rattus norvegicus (Norway rat). RNAcentral describes it as "long non-coding RNA NONRATT008844". The record is from RNAcentral. Lineage: Eukaryota; Metazoa; Chordata; Mammalia; Rodentia; Muridae.